GAAGUUCACACGCUGUUGAUUUUUCUAGGACGAGCUUGCUGUGGCUGGUUUUCGUGAGGCAAACUUGGCUGUUCUUGUCAUUGGAGGAGCUCAGGUUCUCACUGUCACUGGGAAUGGCUGCUGUUCUCAUCAGCGGAGGAAGACCAGGAGAAGGCGCCAUGUGCCCUUUUGGACUGCUGAGUCCUAGUGGUCACUAGAGGGCGCAUGCUCUCACCUUUCUUGAGCUGAUGUAGCCCCAGAGGGUGCCAGAGGCCAGAGGCCAUGCAGGACAGUGGCCCACAUCUCACCCUCCGGACCGACCUCCUGGAGGUGCCUAUGCCUGCUGUGUAACUUUUUAAUUUCCAGCUGUCUGCUCAGAGCUCUAUCUUCACAAGUCAUCGAUUCCGCUGCAUGGAAAGAGGUCAUAUCAGUAGAGGACGAUGAGACCCACUGACACCACUUUGGCCUUAGGUCUAUCCACAUCUUCCCCCUGACCUUGACAUGGAUUCUCUGAGCCAAGGUUACUCAGGUCCCCUUCCAAUCUCCUCAAAGUCUCCCUCCCUGUUUUUUAACACCUCUCUUUCACGC
Molecule: long non-coding RNA, 567 nt
Filed under: Heterocephalus glaber (naked mole-rat)
Lineage: Eukaryota; Metazoa; Chordata; Mammalia; Rodentia; Bathyergidae
Description: lncRNA (ENSHGLG00000048001.1)
Source: RNAcentral